AGUGAACGCUGGCGGUAGGCCUAACACAUGCAAGUCGAACGGCAGCACAGUAAGAGCUUGCUCUUACGGGUGGCGAGUGGCGGACGGGUGAGGAAUACAUCGGAAUCUACUUUUUCGUGGGGGAUAACGUAGGGAAACUUACGCUAAUACCGCAUACGACCUACGGGUGAAAGCAGGGGAUCUUCGGACCUUGCGCGAUUGAAUGAGCCGAUGUCGGAUUAGCUAGUUGGCGGGGUAAAGGCCCACCAAGGCGACGAUCGGUAGCUGGUCUGAGAGGAUGAUCAGCCACACUGGAACUUGGACACGGUCCAGGCUCCUACGGGAGGCAGCAGUGGGGAAUAUUGGACAAUGGGCGCAAGCCUGAUCCAGCCAUACCGCGUGGGUGAAGAAGGCCUUCGGGUUGUAAAGCCCUUUUGUUGGGAAAGAAAAGCAGCAGGUUAAUACCCCGCUGUUCUGACGGUACCCAAAGAAUAAGCACCGGCUAACUUCGUG
Molecule: ribosomal RNA, 492 nt
Filed under: uncultured bacterium
Lineage: Bacteria
Description: partial 16S ribosomal RNA
Rfam family: Bacterial small subunit ribosomal RNA
Source: RNAcentral